Molecule: ribosomal RNA, 406 nt
Filed under: uncultured bacterium
Lineage: Bacteria
Description: partial 16S ribosomal RNA
Rfam family: Bacterial small subunit ribosomal RNA
Source: RNAcentral
AUUGAACGCUGGCGGCAGGCCUAACACAUGCAAGUCGAACGCGUGGCGGACGGGUGAGUUAUGUCUGGGAAACUGCCUGAUGGAGGGGGAUCACUACUGGAAACGGUCGCUAAUCCCGCAUACCAUCGGAUGUGCCCAGAUGGGAUUAGCUAGUAGGUGGGGUCACGGCUCACCUAGGCGACGAUCCCUCGCUGGUCUGAGAGGAUGACCAGCCACACUGGAACUGAGACACGGUCCAGACUCCUACGGGAGGCAGCAGUGGGGAAUAUUGCACAAUGGGCGCAAGCCUGAUGCAGCCAUGCCGCGUGUAUGAAGAAGGCCUUCGGGUUGUAAAGUACUUUCAGCGGGGAGGCGUUACCCGCAGAAGAAGCACCGGCUAACUCCGUGCCAGCAGCCGCGGUAAUUC